UAACACGUAGGGUGCGAGCGUUGUCCGGAAUUAUUGGGCGUAAAGAGCUCGUAGGCGGUGUGUCGCGUCGGCCGUGAAAACUUGCAGCUUAACUGUGGGCGUGCGGUCGAUACGGGCAUCACUGGAGUUCGGCAGGGGAGACUGGAAUUCCUGGUGUAGCGGUGAAAUGCGCAGAUAUCAGGAGGAACACCGGUGGCGAAGGCGGGUCUCUGGGCCGAUACUGACGCUGAGGAGCGAAAGCGUGGGGAGCGAACA
RNAcentral lists this ribosomal RNA (255 nucleotides) under uncultured prokaryote. RNAcentral describes it as "partial 16S ribosomal RNA". It matches the Rfam family "Bacterial small subunit ribosomal RNA", at positions 521 to 774 of the family's 1533-position model. The record is from RNAcentral.